RNAcentral lists this transfer RNA (70 nucleotides) under Tenerus flavicollis. RNAcentral's name for it is "tRNA-Lys". Lineage: Eukaryota; Metazoa; Arthropoda; Insecta; Coleoptera; Cleridae. The record is from RNAcentral.
CAUUAGAUAACUUAAAGCAAGUACUGGUCUCUUAAACCACUUAAUAGUAAAUAGCGUCUACUUCUAAUGA